GUCUAUAGCCGUACCACCCUGAACGCGCCCCGUCUUGGCUAAUCUCGGACGCUAAGCAGGGUCGGGCCUGGUUAGUACUUGGUGAACCCGACAGCCCCAGCCUGCUGUAAAGG
This is a ribosomal RNA of Prolemur simus (greater bamboo lemur), 113 nucleotides long. Lineage: Eukaryota; Metazoa; Chordata; Mammalia; Primates; Lemuridae. The record is from Ensembl.